CUAAUUAAACUAAUGAAGAAAAACUCACUGAAUCGAUGUUCCGAGAAUAGGUAUUGAAAUAUUUCUCCUUCCUUUCGGUUUUCGACUUCUUCUUCUUCCCUUCUUGCGUUCUUUCGUUGCUCUGUGCGUUGUGAAUAACUCCUCGAUUCUGAACUCUCUGUGAAUGUCAGUUUUCUGUUGUGAAAGAUGAAUUGAACCUCUUCUUCUCUACAAUCUUAUGUUACAUUUGGAUGAUCUGUGUUUUUUAGUUGAAGCAUAUGAGCGUGUAUUUAUAGGAUUCAAAUUCUGUUACGUACGAAUUUCAAAUGAAAUUUGGUUGAAUUUUAGAUAUUAGUUAGAAAUGCAAUAAGUUGUUAGAAGCUUGUUAUGUUAGUGAUGUGAAGCUAGUUAAGAUGCCAUUUUGCUGAUUUCUGUUAAAUUGGUUAGUUGUUGGUUUGUUAAAUUGAAGAGGACUAAAUUGCUAUGCUAAUAAGGUUAAAGUUGAUUGUUACUUGUUGAUUGAGCCUUGACUAAGAUAAUUUUCAACCUUACUUAUACUGCUAGUGUACUAUGUUCUUAAGCGUUGUAUGAAUUAGUGCCAUGAAUAUGAAAGAACGUUACAUGAACUUUGGAGAGUAUGAUUGAUAGACUAGUGAAUUAUGGUGUGGAACCAAGCUUGAAAUCCAAUCAUGAAUGUGGUUAGAGCUUAGCUAUGUAAAUUUGAUUGAACGUUAGAAAUUGUCUUGUUAAAUAAAUCCUUUUGUUGUGUUAGUCAUCCAUGGAAAUAGGUUGAGUUUUGUGUAGCUGCUUUGAAGCCAAAUGAGGUUGUUCCAGUGACAGAUGAUACCCUCAACCAUAUAUUAUGAAUGCUAAUAUUGGUUAAGUCCCUACUACUAUUGAACUCUGUUAGGAUGUUUUAU
Molecule: long non-coding RNA, 899 nt
Filed under: Lathyrus oleraceus (garden pea)
Lineage: Eukaryota; Viridiplantae; Streptophyta; Magnoliopsida; Fabales; Fabaceae
Description: Pisum sativum (pea) long non-coding RNA (PSAT_LNC015414)
Source: RNAcentral